Molecule: non-coding RNA, 600 nt
Organism: Ictidomys tridecemlineatus (thirteen-lined ground squirrel)
Lineage: Eukaryota; Metazoa; Chordata; Mammalia; Rodentia; Sciuridae
Source: RefSeq, a predicted model, not a curated record
GAUCAAGUCCCCCUGUGGAAAAAAGGAAUAAAUUUGAGAGGAUUAGCAGUUUCUAAUAUACGAUCACUGUAGAAAGUCCAGGGAGCAGGAGGAAGAGGGGGACAAAGAAAGAAAUAAUUACUCAGCAACUCAAUAAUUCUACAUAUCUGUCAGGUUUAGGAACCAUUGCCCCAGGAUAAUAACAGCUGGAGAAGUGGGAAAGGGUGAGGGAGAAGCUGAAAAGGACAUCGAGCAGGAGAGGUACCAUGCAGCUCAGACAACCUACCUCUCUUCACUUCCCAUCCCCCUGGAGAGGUGAGGCCAGGUUCUCAAGCUUCCCCAGAUGCACAUGAGGCAGAGCAAAAGGGAAGCCAACAGAAUGGUUAAGAUUUCCAGUUAACUCAAUACACAAGAAAAAAAGGGCAAAUUUUUGGAGCAGCCACAUUUAAGCUAUUGGAAAAAAAAAAGAGAGAAUAAAGAAAAGAAACAGAAAGGUAAGAAAACAAAAUUCUAGUGCCCUCAAGUUAUAAUUAAUCUUGUUCCCUCUAUUCUUGUUACUCCCUGUACUCCAAUUACAGCUCUGAAGUCUACCUUGUCCUACAGCUGGUUGUAUAUGUCUUU